This 491-nucleotide ribosomal RNA is filed under the name uncultured bacterium. Its description in RNAcentral is "partial 16S ribosomal RNA". It matches the Rfam family "Bacterial small subunit ribosomal RNA", at positions 29 to 507 of the family's 1533-position model. The record is from RNAcentral.
GUGAACGCUGGCGGUAGGCCUAACACAUGCAAGUCGAACGGCAGCACAGUAAGAGCUUGCUCUUACGGGUGGCGAGUGGCGGACGGGUUAGGAAUACAUCGGAAUCUACUUUUUCGUGGGGGAUAACGUAGGGAAACUUACGCUAAUACCGCAUACGACCUACGGGUGAAAGCAGGGGAUCUUCGGACCUUGCGCGAUUGAAUGAGCCGAUGUCGGAUUAGCUAGUUGGCGGGGUAAAGGCCCACCAAGGCGACGAUCCGUAGCUGGUCUGAGAGGAUGAUCAGCCACACUGGAACUGAGACACGGUCCAGACUCCUACGGGAGGCAGCAGUGGGGAAUAUUGGACAAUGGGCGCAAGCCUGAUCCAGCCAUACCGCGUGGGUGAAGAAGGCCUUCGGGUUGUAAAGCCCUUUUGUUGGGAAAGAAAAGCAGCAGGUUAAUACCCCGCUGUUCUGACGGUACCCAAAGAAUAAGCACCGGCUAACUUCGUG